GUACACAAAAAUGCACAUGCUGUGAGCUCGAUGAGUAGGGCGGGACACGUGGUAUCCUGUCUGAAUAUGGGGGGACCAUCCUCCAAGGCUAAAUACUCCUGACUGACCGAUAGUGAACCAGUACCGUGAGGGAAAGGCGAAAAGAACCCCGGCGAGGGGAGUGAAAAAGAACCUGAAACCGUGUACGUACAAGCAGUGGGAGCACGCUUAGGCGUGUGACUGCGUACCUUUUGUAUAAUGGGUCAGCGACUUAUAUUCUGUAGCAAGGUUAACCGAAUAGGGGAGCCGAAGGGAAACCGAGUCUUAACUGGGCGUUAAGUUGCAGGGUAUAGACCCGAAACCCGGUGAUCUAGCCAUGGGCAGGUUGAAGGUUGGGUAACACUAACUGGAGGACCGAACCGACUAAUGUUGAAAAAUUAGCGGAUGACUUGUGGCUGGGGGUGAAAGGCCAAUCAAACCGGGAGAUAGCUGGUUCUCCCCGAAAGCUAUUUAGGUAGCGCCUCGUGAAUUCAUCUCCGGGGGUAGAGCACUGUUUCGGCAAGGGGGUCAUCCCGACUUACCAACCCGAUGCAAACUGCGAAUACCGGAGAAUGUUAUCACGGGAGACACACGGCGGGUGCUAACGUCCGUCGUGAAGAGGGAAACAACCCAGACCGCCAGCUAAGGUCCCAAAGUCAUGGUUAAGUGGGAAACGAUGUGGGAAGGCCCAGACAGCCAGGAUGUUGGCUUAGAAGCAGCCAUCAUUUAAAGAAAGCGUAAUAGCUCACUGGUCGAGUCGGCCUGCGCGGAAGAUGUAACGGGGCUAAACCAUGCACCGAAGCUGCGGCAGCGACACUGUGUGUUGUUGGGUAGGGGAGCGUUCUGUAAGCCUGCGAAGGUGUGCUGUGAGGCAUGCUGGAGGUAUCAGAAGUGCGAAUGCUGACAUAAGUAACGAUAAAGCGGGUGAAAAGCCCGCUCGCCGGAAGACCAAGGGUUCCUGUCCAACGUUAAUCGGGGCAGGGUGAGUCGACCCCUAAGGCGAGGCCGAAAGGCGUAGUCGAUGGGAAACAGGUUAAUAUUCCUGUACUUGGUGUUACUGCGAAGGGGGGACGGAGAAGGCUAUGUUGGCCGGGCGACGGUUGUCCCGGUUUAAGCGUGUAGGCUGGUUUUCCAGGCAAAUCCGGAAAAUCAAGGCUGAGGCGUGAUGACGAGGCACUACGGUGCUGAAGCAACAAAUGCCCUGCUUCCAGGAAAAGCCUCUAAGCAUCAGGUAACAUCAAAUCGUACCCCAAACCGACACAGGUGGUCAGGUAGAGAAUACCAAGGCGCUUGAGAGAACUCGGGUGAAGGAACUAGGCAAAAUGGUGCCGUAACUUCGGGAGAAGGCACGCUGAUAUGUAGGUGAAGUCCCUCGCGGAUGGAGCUGAAAUCAGUCGAAGAUACCAGCUGGCUGCAACUGUUUAUUAAAAACACAGCACUGUGCAAACACGAAAGUGGACGUAUACGGUGUGACGCCUGCCCGGUGCCGGAAGGUUAAUUGAUGGGGUCAGCGCAAGCGAAGCUCUUGAUCGAAGCCCCGGUAAACGGCGGCCGUAACUAUAACGGUCCUAAGGUAGCGAAAUUCCUUGUCGGGUAAGUUCCGACCUGCACGAAUGGCGUAAUGAUGGCCAGGCUGUCUCCACCCGAGACUCAGUGAAAUUGAACUCGCUGUGAAGAUGCAGUGUACCCGCGGCAAGACGGAAAGACCCCGUGAACCUUUACUAUAGCUUGACACUGAACAUUGAGCCUUGAUGUGUAGGAUAGGUGGGAGGCUUUGAAGUGUGGACGCCAGUCUGCAUGGAGCCGACCUUGAAAUACCACCCUUUAAUGUUUGAUGUUCUAACGUUGACCCGUGAUCCGGGUUGCGGACAGUGUCUGGUGGGUAGUUUGACUGGGGCGGUCUCCUCCUAAAGAGUAACGGAGGAGCACGAAGGUUGGCUAAUCCUGGUCGGACAUCAGGAGGUUAGUGCAAUGGCAUAAGCCAGCUUGACUGCGAGCGUGACGGCGCGAGCAGGUGCGAAAGCAGGUCAUAGUGAUCCGGUGGUUCUGAAUGGAAGGGCCAUCGCUCAACGGAUAAAAGGUACUCCGGGGAUAACAGGCUGAUACCGCCCAAGAGUUCAUAUCGACGGCGGUGUUUGGCACCUCGAUGUCGGCUCAUCACAUCCUGGGGCUGAAGUAGGUCCCAAGGGUAUGGCUGUUCGCCAUUUAAAGUGGUACGCGAGCUGGGUUUAGAACGUCGUGAGACAGUUCGGUCCCUAUCUGCCGUGGGCGCUGGAGAACUGAGGGGGGCUGCUCCUAGUACGAGAGGACCGGAGUGGACGCAUCACUGGUGUUCGGGUUGUCAUGCCAAUGGCACUGCCCGGUAGCUAAAUGCGGAAGAGAUAAGUGCUGAAAGCAUCUAAGCACGAAACUUGCCCCGAGAUGAGUUCUCCCUGACUCCUUGAGAGUCCUGAAGGAACGUUGAAGACGACGACGUUGAUAGGCCGGGUGUGUAAGCGCAGCGAUGCGUUGAGCUAACCGGUACUAAUGAACCGUGAGGCUUAACCUU
RNAcentral lists this ribosomal RNA (2566 nucleotides) under Escherichia coli. RNAcentral's name for it is "partial 23S ribosomal RNA". It matches the Rfam family "Bacterial large subunit ribosomal RNA", at positions 375 to 2925 of the family's 2925-position model. The record is from RNAcentral. Lineage: Bacteria; Pseudomonadati; Pseudomonadota; Gammaproteobacteria; Enterobacterales; Enterobacteriaceae.